Molecule: non-coding RNA, 131 nt
Organism: Halenospora varia
Lineage: Eukaryota; Fungi; Ascomycota; Leotiomycetes; Helotiales; Solenopeziaceae
Source: the annotation of a GenBank genome assembly
UCUUUGAUAGUCUAAUGUUAAGAUAUCCGCCUGCUGAUUGUCGGCCCACGCAAGAGAGCCAAGAAUUAUUCUGUGACAGGGUUCCUUAGGAUUGCAGGCUGAAGAUCCAGUUUCGAUUCCUGGUUGAGGAA